This 249-nucleotide unclassified non-coding RNA is filed under the name Capnodiales sp. RNAcentral describes it as "partial contains 5.8S ribosomal RNA, internal transcribed spacer 2, and large subunit ribosomal RNA". Lineage: Eukaryota; Fungi; Ascomycota; Dothideomycetes; Capnodiales. The record is from RNAcentral.
CGCACAUUGCGCCCCUUGGCAUUCCGAGGGGCAUGCCCGUUCGAGCGUCAUUAAAUCCAAUCAAGCCUGGCUUGGUGUUGGGCGUCGGGAUCGUCCCGCGCCUCAAUUUCGUCGGCUGCCCGUUGGCCCAAUAUAACCGUGUUGUGACCUUUGUAUUUCACGCUUUGAGGGGCGGGCCACGCCGUUAAACGUUCAAUUAAAUUGAUUAAGGUUGACCUCGGAUCGGGUAGGAAUACCCGCUGAACUUAA